This 23-nucleotide non-coding RNA is filed under the name Arabidopsis thaliana (thale cress). Lineage: Eukaryota; Viridiplantae; Streptophyta; Magnoliopsida; Brassicales; Brassicaceae. The record is from RNAcentral.
GACAACAUAUCGCUUACGAAAUC